This 253-nucleotide ribosomal RNA is filed under the name uncultured bacterium. Its description in RNAcentral is "partial 16S ribosomal RNA". It matches the Rfam family "Bacterial small subunit ribosomal RNA", at positions 524 to 776 of the family's 1533-position model. The record is from RNAcentral.
UACGGGGGGGGCAAGCGUUGUUCGGAAUUACUGGGCGUAAAGGGCUCGUAGGUGGCCAACUAAGUCAGACGUGAAAUCCCUCGGCUUAACCGGGGAACUGCGUCUGAUACUGGAUGGCUUGAGUUUGGGAGAGGGAUGCGGAAUUCCAGGUGUAGCGGUGAAAUGCGUAGAUAUCUGGAGGAACACCGGUGGCGAAGGCGGCAUCCUGGACCAACACUGACGCUGAGGAGCGAAAGCCAGGGGAGCAAACAGG